Molecule: long non-coding RNA, 1113 nt
Organism: Girardinichthys multiradiatus
Lineage: Eukaryota; Metazoa; Chordata; Actinopteri; Cyprinodontiformes; Goodeidae
Exons: 2
Source: RefSeq, a predicted model, not a curated record
CGGCUGCUGCUCAGAGAGCACGAAGAGUCCCGUUUGGACAGCAGGAGACAGUGGACAGACCAGAUGAGUUUUAGUCAAGGCCAAAAACCAGUUAGACCACAACAGGUUUUAAUUUGAUGCAGCUUUCUCUCUUUUUAAGGGGUGAUACACCUACGGUUGAUCUGCAGAUGAAAAGUUACAAAACUGCGCCUGUUUUUAGUCUUCAAUGCUUUUUUAAAGCGCUCAGUCCUGCGCUGCAUGAACGCGUCACGCAGCUGCUGUUUUUUGGGGUGUAUAAUACCAAACCCCGCCCCACGCGGGUCGGGGUUGUCCUGCUCCCCUCCGGGAUGUGUUUACGCUCCUCCACGCGACAGGCGCGUGGCAGCUGAGACGAGGAGUGGAGCAGCGCGAAGCUCCUCGGUUCUCCGGGACCGUGGAAGCAGAACGCGCGCGGAAGGAUUCUGGAAGUCCAGUGGGCCUGUUCUGGUGCUGAAAUCUACGCAGUCUUUAUCUAGAAAUGAAUUGCAGUUGCAGACAGCAGAACCAGCAAAUGGACCGGAGAACAGACUUCUGGACUCCCGGCUGCACGGUGCACACAGGCCGGUUGCAGCUCCGCUUUGUUUCCUGAAUCCGAACCUAUUGGCAGUGAGCGGGAAUAUCUUGGAUUUUUCGAGGACCAAAAAUAAAAUAAAAACUUUGGGAAAGGUUUUGCUUUUUUUGACAAAGCUUGGUUGACAAUCUUCUAUGCAAAGCAUGAGGUUGGCAGUGUGAAAACAGUUUCAAUAAGAUUUAGCAACCAAUAAUUGAUUUAAAUACACCUGUGACAAAAUGCAAAAAGCAUCCCCACUUUUUAUUUAUUACUUAUGUGUUUUGGUCCCACAAAGGCUACAUUACAAUUAAGGAUUUCUUUGGUGGAGCAAAUAUUCAGCUCCCAAACUCUAUUACAAGUUCCAUCUAUCUAAUAGCAGGAAUAGUUCUGUGCUCAAUGUCUCUUUAAAUUAUGUUAAAUAUGCUUAAAGUAGCAGAGAUAUUCAGAAUUGUUCAUACCAAAAUAUUCGCCUAUAAACUGUUGGAUUUGUGUGCAUGUAAUGGAAAAAAUAAAAAAAUAAAAAAAUAUAUAUAUAUACACACCGA